CCCUGCCCGGGAGCAAGGAGCUGGUAUCAGGCACACACCUGUUAGCCCAUGACACCUUGCUUAGCCACACCCUCAAGGGAACUCAGCAGUGAUAAACAUUAAGCCAUAAGUGAAAACUUGACUUAGUUAAAGCUAAGAGGGCCGGUAAAACUCGUGCCAGCCACCGCGGCUAUACGAGAGACCCAAGUUGAUACCAUUCGGCGUAAAGAGUGGUUAUGGAAAAUAAAGACUAAAGCCGCACACCUUCAAAGCUGUUAUACGCACCCGAAGGCCAGAAGCUCAACCACGAAGGUAGCUUUACAACCCCUGACCCCACGAAAGCUCUGGCACAAACUGGGAUUAGAUACCCCACUAUGCCUAGCCCUAAACAUUGGUACUAUACCACACACCCUACCCGCCUGGGAACUACGAGCACCAGCUUAAAACCCAAAGGACUUGGCGGUGCUUUAGACCCCCCUAGAGGAGCCUGUUCUAGAACCGAUAACCCCCGUUCAACCUCACCCUUCCUUGUUUAUUCCGCCUAUAUACCGCCGUCGUCAGCUUACCCUGUGAAGGUCUAAUAGUAAGCACAACUGGCAUAACCCAAAACGUCAGGUCGAGGUGUAGCGCAUGGAGGG
RNAcentral lists this ribosomal RNA (617 nucleotides) under Sebastolobus macrochir. RNAcentral describes it as "partial 12S rRNA". It matches the Rfam family "Bacterial small subunit ribosomal RNA", at positions 214 to 1211 of the family's 1533-position model. Lineage: Eukaryota; Metazoa; Chordata; Actinopteri; Perciformes; Sebastidae. The record is from RNAcentral.